RNAcentral lists this ribosomal RNA (243 nucleotides) under uncultured bacterium. RNAcentral's name for it is "partial 16S ribosomal RNA". It matches the Rfam family "Bacterial small subunit ribosomal RNA", at positions 15 to 239 of the family's 1533-position model. The record is from RNAcentral.
GAUCCUGGCUCAGGACGAACGCUGGCGGCGCGCCUAACACAUGCAAGUCGAACGGGGUUAUACGGGAUGAAGUUUUCGGAUGGAAUUCUAUAUAACCUAGUGGCGGACGGGUGAGUAACACGUGAGCAACCUGCCUAUCAGAGGGGGAUAACGAUUGGAAACGAUCGCUAAUACCGCAUGACAUAGCGAAACCGCAUGGUUUUGCUAUCAAAGAUUUAUCGCUGAUAGAUGGGCUCGCGUCCG